RNAcentral lists this non-coding RNA (419 nucleotides) under Triticum aestivum (bread wheat). Its description in RNAcentral is "Bacterial large subunit ribosomal RNA". It matches the Rfam family "Bacterial large subunit ribosomal RNA", at positions 43 to 476 of the family's 2925-position model. RNAcentral also lists the same sequence under 1 other name. Lineage: Eukaryota; Viridiplantae; Streptophyta; Magnoliopsida; Poales; Poaceae. The record is from Rfam by way of RNAcentral.
GAGACGAGGAAGGGCGUAGCAAGCGACGAAAUGCUUCGGGGAAUUGAAAAUAAGCAUAGAUUCGAAGAUUCCCGAAUAGGUCAACCUUUUAAACUGCUUGUUCAAUCCAUGAGCAGGCAAGAGACAACCUCGUGAGCUGAAACAUCUUAAUAGCCAAAGGAAAAUAAAGCAAAAGUGAUUCCCUUAGUAGCGGCGAGCGAAAUGGGAGCAGCCUAAACCGUGAAAACGGGGUUGUGGGAGAGCAAUACAAGUUUUGUGCUGCUAGGCGAAGCGGUUGAGUACCGCACGCUAGAUGGCUAAAGUCCAGUAGCUGAAAGAAUCACUAGCUUACGCUCUGACCUAAGUAGCAUGGGGCAUGUGGAAUCCCGUGUGAAUCAGCAAGGACUAUUUGGAGGUGGCUUUGUGCGGUUACAAAUUCC